UAUUAUGUGAGGUUUUGAUAGUCUGCCUAAAUCAACUUUUUUUCCCCUUUCAAGUUGUAAGUUCUGAAAAGGAAUAAGAAAAAUUUUGCAGCAGCAAGUCUUAUUUUUUCUAAUUUCAAUAGCUACAUGUUAUUGGCCUCACUAACUAUUAUUCUUGAUUAAUUACUCUGUAUACUAAAUUGGAUGGUUUUCUACAUGAUGAACAAGUUCUACAGGGUCCAAGUAUUGUAGCGAUCAUACUCAGAAUGCAUUGUUAAGGUGUUCAAAAAUUAUCGUGUCAGAUCAUAUGAAUGGAUUGUUGGUGUUCUGUGGUAAUACGAAGUUCUACUUUAAAGAUUACAGACUAGCUUCAUGUUACAUAUGAAUAACAAGAUUCAAUCGGACAUAGAAGAUGGUCUCCAUGUUCUAAGGUUCUUUGUCAAAAUCUUAGCUUGUGACAACAAAGCAGGGAGAACUUUUGAUGGAUGGGUUUUUCUUUGCAUCAACUAUUCAAGAUUUAUUUAGUUUUUGAGUUCUUCUCUAUUUUACCGGAACUACAGUGAUUACAAAAUUCCUUUUUUAUAUGAUGUAAUGAUAAUUAAAA
Long non-coding RNA from Solanum pennellii, 583 nucleotides. RefSeq lists it as uncharacterized. NCBI's taxonomy places the organism in Eukaryota, Viridiplantae, Streptophyta, Magnoliopsida, Solanales, Solanaceae. The transcript is spliced from 3 exons. The record is from RefSeq and is a predicted model, not a curated record.